RNAcentral lists this ribosomal RNA (253 nucleotides) under uncultured bacterium. Its description in RNAcentral is "partial 16S ribosomal RNA". It matches the Rfam family "Bacterial small subunit ribosomal RNA", at positions 524 to 776 of the family's 1533-position model. The record is from RNAcentral.
UACGUAGGGCGCAAGCGUUAUCCGGAAUUAUUGGGCGUAAAGAGCUCGUAGGCGGUUUGUCGCGUCUGCCGUGAAAGUCCGGGGCUCAACUCCGGAUCUGCGGUGGGUACGGGCAGACUAGAGUGAUGUAGGGGAGACUGGAAUUCCUGGUGUAGCGGUGAAAUGCGCAGAUAUCAGGAGGAACACCGAUGGCGAAGGCAGGUCUCUGGGCAUUAACUGACGCUGAGGCGCGAAAGCUAGGGGAGCGAACGGG